GCACUAGAAACUAUGAAAAGCCUCUUUGCGGAGACAAAUGAGAACACCAUUUUCUAGAAUAGAGAUACAUGAUGUUGGGCAAUUUGGGGGGGGAAAAACUUCUCUACCACUCUUAUAAAAAUUCUGUUCUGAAAUGGAGAAAAAAAUUAAAAGUCAAGCAAAAAUAGAGAAAGACAGAAUGGAAACUGAAGAUCACCUUAGAAAAGAAGCAGAACCAGGAAGAGCAAAAUACAACUACCUUAAAGGGGCAACAAAGUGCAUCACUAUAAAUACUGACUUCCUGACGCUCAUCUAGGGUAGAUAAUGUGACAUGUGACACACUUCUGGCCAAGGGCAAGCAGACGUCUGCCGUGCAUGUGCUCUCCUAGGACAGCUAUGGACAUUUUGAAAUUCUUCCAGAUAUCCUUGUGGCCCUCUGCAUUUGUUUCAGGGCGUCGAAUAGUGACAGGUAGGUGUUUGCUGUUAGAGAUCUUUUGCUCCUAAAUGUAAAGCUUAAGAAUUUAGCAGCACCACAGCUAAAGUGCCCUUUAAUGGAAAGGCUAGAAAUAGAAAUAAAAUAUAUCUUUUAGGUUUCUAAAAGGAAAACUGUAAAAGGCAUACAGUAUUUGCAUUUGCCAAGGGAGCUGGCCACUUUCGUGAGUUAUAGUUAAUAGGAUCCAUCAAUGUCAGCAAAUAUGUCCAAGCCAUUUGCAAUUUGGAACCAUCACCCUUCAAUUAACGACUCAUUCACCACACACUCGUUUUGAUCAUGAGAAAUUUGCUCUAUUUAUAUAAACUACAGCUUUUAAAAAAAUGUCAGUUUCACAGACCUUUAAGUGGGCAGCUAAUAAUUAAGAACUGAUUUUUUAAAAUGGUAAUAAUUAUGACAAUGGCAAAGUGGUUAGCAUUUUGUAACUUAAAGUGCUUUCUUAUAUUAUUUCUUUCAUUCUUCAGAAUAUUAUUAUUUCAAAUUUACAUAUGAGGAAACUGAUAAGGAUCUCACCUAGGGUCAAAUAACCAGUAAGUAGAGUAGCAGGGACGUGAAGAGAAGCCCUCUAUUUCAGGUCCCAUACUGUUUCCAGGAUUCUGCUCUAGAUCUCAGUUAUAUAUCAUCUGUAAUAUCCAGUUGUGCUUAGGAGCAUCAUGAACUAUUGUUAAAUAAAGUUGAAUCGGAUAUUAAUGUGGAAUUUUGAUAACCCUUCAUAAUUAUAGUAAUUAAUAUAAAGCUUAUUAAUUUUUAAUUUUUAAAUUUGGGUCAAAUCCUUUUUAUAGAACACAUUUGUCAUUCUGCUAUCCUGGGCAAUAUGAAAGAUCUCUGCUGCUAUUUACCUUGGUUUACACAAUUUAGAAUUGCCCCUUCUAGAAGCAGUUUAUCACAGAUUAAUUCCUGAAAUUUAAAGCAUGUUUCUCUUGCAUCUUAUUCACGGCCACAAAAAAGUAAAAAGAUUACUUGAGAGAAUCACUGACGUUCAAAAGAUAAAAUAUUGAUUUCUUGUUUUAAUACAGCAUAUUGAAAAAACACCUGUGUUAUUUUUAAACUGCCAGGGAUCUGAAUAUUGCUUCAUUAAGGUAUAGGUAGCUCAGGGGCUCAGUAACUAACCUUAAUAUAAAUUCCUUAUUGGAAUAAUAUAAAUCUUUGGGUUUACUUUUCUUUUACAGGGUUCAAAAUGGUGACAAAUUUCAGACACCAAACUAAUGUUACAUUCCUUGGUGUAAUAUGGUGUUCCUUAGUCCAGACUGCACUGCAGAAUCAUCUAGGAUAAUUAUGAUCACCCUAACCCAAAAGAGUCUGAAUCACCAGAGACGGGGCUGGACAUUGAACAUUUUAAAAACUUUCCACUUAGUUCUGGGGCGCCUGGGUGGCUCAGUCAGUUAAGCGUCCAACUCUUGAUCUCUACUCAGGUCUCAAUCUCAGGGUCGUGAGUUCAAGCCCCACGUUGGACUCCAUGCUGGGUGUGGAGCCUACUUAAAAAAACAAACAAAAAAACUUUGCACUUAGUUCUAAUCUGCAGUCAAGGGUUAAAAAACAUUAAUAUACUUGAGAUUCAUAUUGGAAAGGAAUGAUUGUUUUCUCUACCACAAAAAUCUCUCUGUACACAGCCUUUCUUCUUAGUUGGUAGCCAACCUUCCUUUGCGUUGUACUUUGUUUUCAAAUGCCCUUGGCAGUCCACGGCUCUUCUGACUAGAAGCCUCAGUCACUCCCCAGAAACGCCUCCCAAAUGAAAUUAAAAUGAAACAGACUUUAUUUUGAAAUAAUUAUAGACUCACAGGAAAUUACAAAGGAAAUAGACAGAGGACCUGUAUAGCUUUCACUCAGUUUCCCCCACAAUUGGUCCAUCUUACAUAAUUAUAAAACAGUAUCAAUGACAGGACUUGAAUACUGACACGAUGUAUGCAUGUAAUUCUGUAUUUUCUCAUGUGUAGGCUCCUGUAGCCGUCAGCGCAAUCAAAAGAGAGAACUAUCCCAUCACCACAAAGAUCUCCCUCCUGCAACCCCUUUAGAGCCACACCCAGUUCUCUCCCCCACACCACCCCUAACCUCUGGCAACCAUUAAUCUGUUUCCCAUCUCUAUAAUUUUGUCAUUUCAGGAAUAUUAUAUAAAUGGACUCACAGUGUCUAUGUCCUUUUUGAAAAAAAUUUUUUUUCACCUAGCAUAAUGUCCUUGAGAUCUCUCCAAGUUGUGUAUAUCCAUAGUUCAUUUCUUUUUAUUAUUAAACUGUAGUACAUUUUGGUUGUUUCCAGUUUGGGGCUCUUACAGUAAAGCUGCCACAAUAAUGUUUCAUUUCUCUGAGAUAAAUGCCCAGGAGUGCAAUUGCUGGAUUAUGUGGUAAGUAUAUGUUUAAUUGUUCUAAGGAACUUCAAACUGUUUUCCAGAGUGGCUGUACCAUCUAUAUUCCUACCAGCAAUGUAUAACUGACCAAGUAUCUUUGUAUUCUUGCUAGCAUUGAGUAUUAGCACUAUUUUUAUAUUUUAUCAUGCUAAGAGGUUUACGGUGAUACCUCAUCACGGCUUUAAUUCGCGUUUCCCUAAUAGCUGGUGAUGCUGAACAUUUUUUCACAUUUACUUGCCAUCCAUAUAUUCUCCUCAGUGAAAUGUCUCUAUGUUUUUUGCCCAUUUUCUAUUGGAUUAUUUGUUUUUACUGCUCAGUUUUACAAGUUCUAGAUGAGUGCUUUGUCAGAUUUGUUUGCAAAUAUUUUCUCUUACUCUUGUAGCUUGUCUUUUCAUCCUCUUAACAGAAUCUUUCCCCCCCAAAAAUUUAAUUUUGAUGAGAUCAAUUUAUUGUUUUUUCACUUCUAUGGAUUAUAUUUUUGGUGUCAUGUCUAUGAACUCUUCACUAAGCCUCGGGUCCCCCCAAUUUUCUAAAAGUCUUAUAUGUUUUCUAUUUUACAUUUAAAUCUGAUUUGGGUUAAUUUUUGUGAAAGUUUGAGGUUUAGAUAGAAGUUUAUAUUGUUUUGCCUGUGGAUACUCAGCUGUUCUAGCACCAUUUGUUGAAAUGCCUAUUCUUUUUCCAUUGAACUGCUUCUGCACUUUGGUCAAAAAUCACUUCCCCACCAGGCCUCUGUUGAUACCACACUGGUUGCGACAGGGAGGGACAUCUCACUGCCUUCCACAUUGCCUCCACUGGCACUGUUGGGGCCAUCUUGUCAGCACUGAGCAGUGGUGAAAGUCCUGACUCUCUACUAGGCCCUCUCUGACACCGCCACAGUGGGGAGAAAGAGGGGUGCCUAUUCCCUCUGGGUGGGGGUGGGAGUCCAAGCCUCCCCUCACCUCCCCCCACCCCGUCUCACAUCACACUGAUGCCAUGGAAGGGGAUCCUCUUUACCACCUGCGGGAGAUGAAAGUCUCAGCUUCCCACUCUGCCUUCUCGGACACCACCCUGGUGGUGGGGAGAGAGUUGUAGUGUUCCCUACAGGUGGGCAAGGGUGAAAGUCUUGGCUCUGGGGGGAGUGGGGCGGCAGUGUUUUCUGCGCAUUUGGCUGGAGUAGAAUGGCUAUUGUCUAAAUGUCGUCUGCCGUGCUAGGCUGUCCCUUUCCUGGUCCAUUGGCAAGGGAGAGCAGACUGUUCUGGGGGCUUUAUUUUUUGGCUCUGUGUCAUUAGUGUUUUGGGAUUCUUCAGUACCCAGUCUGGGAUGUGUGAGGGGAGAAGAAAGUCCAGGGAAUUCACCGUAUACUUCCUUGAGUUCUAAGUUCCCUAGUUUGCCUGCCUUCUUCUUCCUACUUUUCAAAAUCUUCUUGUUUGUUUUAUAUAUAACGUCCAGGAAUUUUAGUUGUGCCUAGUGGGAGGAAUAGGGAAAAGCACCCCGAUUCAUCCUCCAAGAAGCAGAAGUCCGCAUGAAUUUUGGAUAGGACACCUGGCUUAUCAUUUACCAGAGACUAACCUACACAUUUGUGAAAAAUCUAUCACAGUUUUUGAAGACUAUGGUCACGUAGAGAAAAUGGAUUUUACUUACAUAUGUAAUCAUGAUAAUAGUUAAUAGUUCUUUGGCACUUAACUAGUAUAAACAGACAAUAAUACUAGGUCAUACAGAAUAUUAAAAUCCUUUUACUAAUGAAUAAACUUAAAGAGGUUAAAUAAUAUUCCUUUUGUUACCUUGGUCUUCCUAAUUCCAGAACUUGUGCUUUUUAACUAUAAUGCAAUAUUGUUUUAACUACACUUCCAAAGUUUCUUAGAAUAAUGCAGUGGAAAAAAAAAAUUACGGUAGGAGCCAAGGGACUCUAUUUUCACACAAAUUACACAAAAUUCAUUUCCUGAAUCUGGGCAAAAGCUCUCAACUUCCUGACUCUCAAUUUUCUCAACUGUAAGAUGAUCGGUCAGCCUUGAUCUUUAAAAUCUUUUCUUGAGUCCUAACUUUAUGAAUGUCUAAACAUACGAAGAGAAAUUCAACUUGGAAUUUCGAGGGAGGAGGGGCAUUCCGAAGCCUGUGGAGUCCUAUCUGCAACAGUGCAGUCGAUGGUGGCGGCACCAAGUGGGAAUGAAUGAAGUAGAACGACCCAGAACGUUCAUCUUCUAUCUUUGCCACUUAUCACCAGAUGCACGUUUACAAACACCUGUUUCUGAAUACACAGGUUAUGUGAGCCAUGCAAAGAUCUCAUGAGCCUUGAGAGAGUCAGGCUGGAAUGACAGGAUGCGAAAACCAUUGUCACGUGGUGUUAACGUAGGCGGAACAUGGGGAUACAUGUGCUGGGAAUCUGCUCCUCCAAAUAUUGAGCAGGAUUAUUGUAUAUUUGGAUGCCUCACUAAAUGGUGAAUGGCAAUGCUUAAUGCCCAGAUUAAAGCUCACCUAUCAUAUCUUUUCUGACUGUUCCAUGACUUUCUGCCAAUCAUUUUCAUUUUCUCUGCUUUGUAUUUCAGCCUGUUUGUAAUAUUUUAUGUUCCAAACUUGCUCAAAUUUUCUGAAAGGAGGAACAUAUUGCCAUGUGAAAAGAUAAUGGAUCUGUACAUCUGCUGAGUGCUCUUGUUCUCACAGAGAAACUUCAUAUGUACAAGAAAAAAUAAUUCAGCAUAAGUUCUAUUUUUUUUUCUGUAGCUCUCCUCAGCUGUUAUCUUUCUUUAAAACUGUAUUAUAUAAAUGUCUAGCAAUGAACAAAGUGAUUUUUAACAGAUGUUUAAUGUAACUUCAUAAACCUUUGCAAAACAUCUAAAAUUUUCCUGGAUGGGGGGGUGGAAGGUGCUGGAGGGGGUACUAAUGGAAUAGCAUAAAUGGGCUUUUCUAGGAAAAGAGCUACAUGUAUAUUAUCUGUGUAUGUAUAAAAGUUCUCCUAAAAGUUUUUGUUUAUGGAUACCAUGCAUGCCAUCGUUUCAUGAACUGUUUUUCUUAUAAUAUUAAUUGUACUGGAUAGUGGAUUAAAUAAAAUUUUUAUGUUUCUUUGCUGCAAGAAUUCUGCCUUUAUAUACCCCUCUUCAUUAUUAAUCUUCAAGAAGAUUACUUAAUGUGGAGCAUUUCCUCAGAUUGUUCCUCUUCUGAACUUUUAUCCUUCAUAGUAAAUAAACAUUGGUGAACUGAUAUUCUAUGAACUGGAUUUGGGUAAUGGUGCUACAAAUAAAUAAUUCAAUAUCC
Mirounga angustirostris (Northern elephant seal) is the source of this 6038-nucleotide long non-coding RNA. RefSeq lists it as uncharacterized. The transcript is spliced from 3 exons. The record is from RefSeq and is a predicted model, not a curated record. Lineage: Eukaryota; Metazoa; Chordata; Mammalia; Carnivora; Phocidae.